This 329-nucleotide ribosomal RNA is filed under the name uncultured bacterium. RNAcentral's name for it is "bacterial SSU rRNA". It matches the Rfam family "Bacterial small subunit ribosomal RNA", at positions 8 to 331 of the family's 1533-position model. The record is from RNAcentral.
AGAGUUUGAUCCUGGCUCAGAUUGAACGCUGGCGGCAGGCCUAACACAUGCAAGUCGAGCGGCAGCGGGAAAGUAGCUUGCUACUUUUGCCGGCGAGCGGCGGACGGGUGAGUAAUGCCUGGGAAAUUGCCCAGUCGAGGGGGAUAACAGUUGGAAACGACUGCUAAUACCGCAUACGCCCUACGGGGGAAAGCAGGGGACCUUCGGGCCUUGCGCGAUUGGAUAUGCCCAGGUGGGAUUAGCUAGUUGGUGAGGUAAUGGCUCACCAAGGCGACGAUCCCUAGCUGGUCUGACAGGAUGAUCAGCCACACUGGAACUGAGACACGGCC